Molecule: microRNA, 21 nt
Filed under: Mus musculus (house mouse)
Lineage: Eukaryota; Metazoa; Chordata; Mammalia; Rodentia; Muridae
Description: microRNA miRNA389
Source: RNAcentral
CGGGUUUCGCCCCCGCGGCGU